This is a long non-coding RNA of Mustela lutreola (European mink), 802 nucleotides long. RefSeq lists it as uncharacterized. The transcript is spliced from 6 exons. Lineage: Eukaryota; Metazoa; Chordata; Mammalia; Carnivora; Mustelidae. The record is from RefSeq and is a predicted model, not a curated record.
UGACACUUCCCAGACACGCUGCCUGUAUUCUGCUGUGUUCUGUGGGCCCAUGACUUCCCUUACUACUCUCUUCCCUCACUUUCUUCAAGAAAGCUUUUAAGAGAGUGUCUUUUCUAGUCCAAAAAGAAGUGACUACUUAAAAAGUCCCAAAUGACUUCACAGGGCCAAAAAAGGAAGAGGUGGAUAGGAGACCAUCGAAAUAAUUCUUCAAGUUUAUCAGAGUUUUACAUAUGGGCAUGAAAGAGCAUUGAGGACUUGGAGAAACCAUUUUAACAUCAUCUACCACUGAAACAACACAAUCUAAACCUUCAGUUCAGGAAGAACACAAGUUAGAGAGAAAAAUAAUGCAGAAAAAAAAUCAAUUACCCUAUUUUUGAGAUAAAGUAACUGUUGGAUAAAUGGACAUGGAAAAGGAGAAAUUAAGAUGAAAAAUAAUUGCAAAAACAAAAAACAAAGAAAGAAGAUUGAUAAUUGAGAAGAUAGUUAUGACAAAGGGCUACCAUAAGCCACUGGGCACCUGCAGUGAAGAUAGAAGAUAAAGUCUUCCUCCAAGUAUCUCUUUAAAAAAAAAAAAAAAAAAAGCUCUGUCUUCAUAAGAAUGUCAUCAAUGCUGGGACGCCUGGGUGGCUCAGUUGGUUGAGCAGCUGCCUUCGGCUCGGGUCAUGAUCCCAGCAUCCUGGGAUCGAGUCCCACAUCGGGCUCCUUGCUCAGCGGGGAGCCUGCUUCUCCCUCUGCCUCUGCCUGCCAUUCUGUCUGCCUGUGCUCGCUCUCUCCCCCUCUCUCUCUCUGAUAAAUAAAUAAA